Molecule: ribosomal RNA, 515 nt
Filed under: uncultured bacterium
Lineage: Bacteria
Description: bacterial SSU rRNA
Rfam family: Bacterial small subunit ribosomal RNA
Source: RNAcentral
UAGUCCACGCCGUAAACGAUGAUCACUAGAUAUUGGCCUUUAGGUCAGUGUCGGAGCGAAAGUAUUAAGUGAUCCACCUGGGGAGUACGUUCGCAAGAUUGAAACUCAAAGGAAUUGACGGGGGCCCGCACAAGCGGAGGAACAUGUGGUUUAAUUCGAUGAUACGCGAGGAACCUUACCUGGACUUAAAUGUGCGUUGCAUAGAUCAGAGAUGGUCUUUUCUUCGGACUACGUACAAGGUGCUGCAUGGUUGUCGUCAGCUCGUGCCGUGAGGUGUCGGGUUAAGUCCCAUAACGAGCGCAACCCUUAUCCUUAGUUGCCGGCGGGUCAUGCCGGGGACUCUGAGGAGACUGCCACCGUAAGGUGUGAGGAAGGUGGGGAUGACGUCAAAUCAGCACGGCCCUUAUGUCCAGGGCUACACACGUGUUACAAUGGACGGUACAAAGGGCAGCUACCUGGUGACAGGAUGCUAAUCUCUAAAGCCGUUCUCAGUUCGGAUCGAAGUCUGCAACCCG